Long non-coding RNA from Drosophila miranda, 366 nucleotides. RefSeq lists it as uncharacterized. The record is from RefSeq and is a predicted model, not a curated record. Lineage: Eukaryota; Metazoa; Arthropoda; Insecta; Diptera; Drosophilidae. The transcript has 2 exons.
GAUAUUUCUUAACUUUUAAGCAAUUUGGAAUUUUCGUCACAAUUUCAAAAAAGAAAAAACCAAAAAUAUUCUUGUUUACUUUGAUCCAAAAUGUCUCUCCCGGAGUGGCCAACAAUUGCGCAAUUUUCGACAACAACGCGACGAGGACGAUUACGAGGCUGUUGCUGUGGCUUUCCUCCACUCGCAUCAAUGCACAAAUGGUCACUAAAACGUCGGACUGUUGUGGCCAGUUUCGACCACAUUGCAACGGUAGCACUAAGGGGUUGAUAUGAUAUGCUUGUGUGUUGGGGUAUUUGGUUUGGGAAAGCCACCAAAAAAUAUUGCCUGUAAAGCAGUAGAAUAAUAAAUUAAAUUCUAAAUUUUGUA